Molecule: ribosomal RNA, 479 nt
Filed under: uncultured bacterium
Lineage: Bacteria
Description: partial 16S ribosomal RNA
Rfam family: Bacterial small subunit ribosomal RNA
Source: RNAcentral
GAUGAACGCUAGCGGGAGGCCUAACACAUGCAAGCCGAGCGGUAUUUGUUCUUCGGAACAGAGAGAGCGGCGCACGGGUGCGGAACACGUGUGCAACCUGCCUUUAUCUGGGGGAUAACCUUUCGAAAGGAAGAUUAAUACCCCAUAAUAUAUUGAGUGGCAUCACUUGAUAUUGAAAACUCCGGUGGAUAGAGAUGGGCACGCGCAAGAUUAGAUAGUUGGUGAGGUAACGGCUCACCAAGUCAAUGAUCUUUAGGGGGCCUGAGAGGGUGAUCCCCCACACUGGUACUGAGACACGGACCAGACUCCUACGGGAGGCAGCAGUGAGGAAUAUUGGACAAUGGGUUAGCGCCUGAUCCAGCCAUCCCGCGUGAAGGACGACGGCCCUAUGGGUUGUAAACUUCUUUUGUAUAGGGAUAAACCUACUCUCGUGAGAGUAGCUGAAGGUACUAUACGAAUAAGCACCGGCUAACUCCGUG